CAUGGUUCCACAGAUCUCGUCAGGGAAAGCAAGUGACAGAAGAAAGAAUUGCCAAAUUUCAUAAGAGAACACAUAUGGACUUCAUGGAAAAAGGAAUGACAGUUUCCUGGUAUUGAUAAUAGUCCCUUAAAGUGGAUUGAGAUGAAAGACACUGGUUUCUGUACCAGCAUUGAAUGUACAGCAAAUGGACCCCUGUAUAAAGGUGAUCAAGGCCUGAGCCCGGCCUCUCAGUCUCCAGGAUGAAGUAUGGUGGUCACUCACUGCUGGUUCCUUCUUCCAGUCAAUAAAAGCCGAUAUCUCGCCUUUACAUCUCAGGUGAAAAUGAAGAAUUCUGUGGAGACAGUUUUGACCUCCCUCCAACAAUGAAAAUUCAAUGGUCACAGCCCUCUGAUAAUAAAAGCUGAUAGUUAGAUAUAAAAAAUGUGGACUAUUUUCCAUGUGUCAGACAUCACCUUUAGCAACAGAUAUCAAUGAUGAGAUUUAGCAUUGCUUUCAGUACAACAGCACCGCUUUCGGUCAAUGAAGGAAGAGGGUAUUUGAGGCUCAAGAAUUCUAAGAUGGUAUGAAACUGAUCUGGUCUACUGAGCAGCAAUGACCUUUGCCCUCUCAAAUGCUCUCUGAGACCUUGGUUAACUAGACCAUGCACCUCACGGCACUGGAAAAAAGGGGGUAAUUGUUAUUAAGGUAAUGCUUUAGUCAAGGCAUGACUGUCUCAUCUUCAAAUACCCUGCAGCUAACUGAGGAAUAUCUUGACAUCAGGUGCGAGGUGGACAUCCUGCUGAUAGAUGAGAUGACUCUAACUCAGCUAUCAUCUCACCACAGAAAGACUUAACAUUCUAUUGUUCUUUUGUAUUAUCUUAUUGAGCUUCUGAUGUUAUGUAACAAAAUUAAAUGGUAACCAUAGCCAGUUAUGUAAGAAUAAUUGAUGCCUGCAUCUGCUUUUAAGAAGCCAAUGUGAACUUGACUGACUAGGUUCCAGCACGCCCUAUGUACCCAUUUCACAGAGGUGGAGAUAAUAAAUUGGAUGAAGCUUGGUUGAAGGAAAGAGAAUCAUUGAUGGUUAUGUCAUUAAUAAUUAUUCCAUUUAAAGAAGGUUGCCGCAUGUUUGCAACUUCAUUUUUUGACUCCCAAAUUAAUGCAACAAAAUGUGGCCUACAGCACAUUGACCCACAAGGCUGCAUAACAAAGUGAACAGCAGUCCACCCUACUGAAAAAGUCCAGCAAUAUCUGCAUCUGGAAACUACUUCC
Molecule: long non-coding RNA, 1248 nt
Organism: Hypanus sabinus (Atlantic stingray)
Lineage: Eukaryota; Metazoa; Chordata; Chondrichthyes; Myliobatiformes; Dasyatidae
Exons: 4
Source: RefSeq, a predicted model, not a curated record